This 340-nucleotide ribosomal RNA is filed under the name Hyalopterus pruni. Its description in RNAcentral is "partial 12S ribosomal RNA". Lineage: Eukaryota; Metazoa; Arthropoda; Insecta; Hemiptera; Aphididae. The record is from RNAcentral.
AAAAUUUAAAUUAAUUUACUAAAAAAUUAAUAGUUAUGUUCUUUAAAUUUAAAAAAUUUGGCGGUAUUUUAGUCUUAUUAGAGGAAUCUGUUUAUUAAUUGAUAAUCCACGAUUAAUUUUACUUAUUUUAAUUAAUUCAUAUAUCGCUGUCAUGAAUAUAUUUAAAAAUUUAUUUUCUUUAAUUAUUUUAAUAAUUUAUGUUAAGUCAAGAUGUGGUUUAUAAAUAAGAAUAUAAUGGGUUACAUUAAAUUUUAUUUUUGGAUUUAAAAUGAAAAUUAAAAUGAAAUUGGAUUUAAUAGUAAGUUUAAUUAAUUUAUUAAUAUGAAUAAAGAUCUAAAUU